GAUGAACGCUGGCGGCGUGCCUAAUACAUGCAAGUCGAACGAAGCCUUCGGGCUUAGUGGCGGACGGGUGAGUAACACGUUGGUACCUGCCUCGAAGUGGGGAAUAACUGGCCGAAAGGUCGGCUAAUACCGCAUGUGGUCGCAAGAUCAAAGUCGUAAGACGCUUCGAGAGGGGCCUGCGUCCCAUUAGCUAGUUGGUAGGGUAAUGGCCUACCAAGGCGACGAUGGGUAGCUGGAUCGAGAGGUUGACCAGCCACACUGGGACUGAGAUACGGCCCAGACUCCUACGGGAGGCAGCAGUAAGGAAUCUUCCACAAUGGACGAAAGUCUGAUGGAGCAACGCCGCGUGCAGGAUGACGGCCUUCGGGUUGUAAACUGCUUUUAUAUGGGAAGAUUAUGACGGUACCAUAUGAAUAAGGACCGGCUAACUACGUGCCAGCAGCCGCCGCCG
Molecule: ribosomal RNA, 451 nt
Filed under: uncultured bacterium
Lineage: Bacteria
Description: partial 16S ribosomal RNA
Rfam family: Bacterial small subunit ribosomal RNA
Source: RNAcentral